This 497-nucleotide ribosomal RNA is filed under the name uncultured bacterium. Its description in RNAcentral is "partial 16S ribosomal RNA". It matches the Rfam family "Bacterial small subunit ribosomal RNA", at positions 28 to 507 of the family's 1533-position model. The record is from RNAcentral.
GAUGAACGCUGGCGGCGUGCCUAAUACAUGCAAGUCGAGCGAACAGACGAGGAGCUUGCUCCUCUGACGUUAGCGGCGGACGGGUGAGUAACACGUGGAUACCCUACCUAUAAGACUGGGAUAACUUCGGGAACCCGGAGCUAAUACCGGAUAAUAUAUUGAACCGCAUGGUUCAAUAGUGAAAGACGGUUUUGCUGUCCCUUAUAGAUGGUUCCGGGCCGCAUUAGCUAGUUGGUAAGGUAACGGCUUACCAAGGCAACGAUGCGUAGCCGACCUGAGAGGGUGAUCGGCCACACUGGAACUGAGACACGGUCCAGACUCCUACGGGAGGCAGCAGUAGGGAAUCUUCCGCAAUGGGCGAAAGCCUGACGGAGCAACGCCGCGUGAGUGAUGAAGGUCUUCGGAUCGUAAAACUCUGUUAUUAGGGAAGAACAAAUGUGUAAGUAACUAUGCACGUCUUGACGGUACCUAAUCAGAAAGCCACGGCUAACUACGUG